AUUCCAGCUCCAAUAGCGUAUACUAAAGUUGUUGCAGUUAAAAAGCUCGUAGUUGAAUUUCUGGUCGUGGCAAUCGGUCAGCCCCUCACGGGGUUCGUACCAGGUUGCUGCGUCCAUCCUCGGGGAGAGCACAUCGGGCAUUCAGUUGUCUGGUGUGGGAUCCUCGUCAUUUACUGUGAGCAAAAUAGAGUGUUCAAAGCAGGCUUAGGCCGUUGAAUACAUUAGCAUGGAAUAAUAAGAUAGGACCUUGGUCUAUUUUGUUGGUUUGCAUUCCAAGGUAAUGAUUAAUAGGGAUAGUUGGGGGUAUUCGUAUUCAAUUGUCAGAGGUGAAAUUCUUGGAUUUAUGGAAGACGAACUACUGCGAAAGCAUUUACCAAGGAUGUUUUCAUCA
This 391-nucleotide ribosomal RNA is filed under the name Chrysophyceae sp. RNAcentral's name for it is "partial small subunit ribosomal RNA". It matches the Rfam family "Eukaryotic small subunit ribosomal RNA", at positions 582 to 975 of the family's 1831-position model. Lineage: Eukaryota; Chrysophyceae. The record is from RNAcentral.